Molecule: ribosomal RNA, 796 nt
Filed under: uncultured beta proteobacterium
Lineage: Bacteria; Pseudomonadati; Pseudomonadota; Betaproteobacteria
Description: bacterial SSU rRNA
Rfam family: Bacterial small subunit ribosomal RNA
Source: RNAcentral
GGUAACAGGUCUUCGGAUGCUGACGAGUGGCGAACGGGUGCCCUCUUACAUCGGAACGUGCCCAGUAAUGGGGGAUAGCUCGGCGAAAGCCGGAUUAAUACCGCAUACGCCCUGAGGGGGAAAGUGGGGGACCGCAAGGCCUCACGUUAUUGGAGCGGCCGAUGGCUGAUUAGCUAGUUGGUAGGGUAAAGGCCUACCAAGGCGACGAUCAGUAGCUGGUCUGAGAGGACGAUCAGCCACACUGGGACUGAGACACGGCCCAGACUCCUACGGGAGGCAGCAGUGGGGAAUUUUGGACAAUGGGGGAAACCCUGAUCCAGCAAUGCCGCGUGUGCGAAGAAGGCCUUCGGGUUGUAAAGCACUUUUGUCAGGGAAGAAAUCCUUUGGGCUAGUACCCUAGGGGGAUGACGGUACCUGAAGAAUAAGCACCGGCUAACUACGUGCCAGCAGCCGCGGUAAUACGUAGGGUGCAAGCGUUAAUCGGAAUUACUGGGCGUAAAGCGUGCGCAGGCGGUUGUGUAAGACAGGUGUGAAAUCCCCGGGCUUAACCUGGGAAUUGCAUUUGUGACUGCACGACUAGAGUGUGUCAGAGGGGGGUGGAAUUCCACGUGUAGCAGUGAAAUGCGUAGAUAUGUGGAGGAACACCAAUGGCGAAGGCAGCCCCCUGGGAUAACACUGACGCUCAUGCACGAAAGCGUGGGGAGCAAACAGGAUUAAAAACCCUGGUAGUCCCCCCCCCUAACCAAGGCCAACUAGUUUGUUGGGGAAUUACCUCCUUGGGUACCCUACCUAACGC